Mus musculus (house mouse) is the source of this 22243-nucleotide RNA transcript. It is a transcript of the gene named Rho GTPase activating protein 21, with no coding region annotated. The transcript is spliced from 25 exons. Lineage: Eukaryota; Metazoa; Chordata; Mammalia; Rodentia; Muridae. The record is from RefSeq and is marked validated.
UCCCAAGUGCUGGGAUUAAAGGUGUGCACCACCACGCCCGGCUUGUACUGUAUUUUUAAAAAAUAUUUCAUAAGAUAUCACAGGCACAUGUCUUUGUUCAUAGGUUUUAUGAAUGGCUUGUAUCCACAUUGUAUAUGGAGGAUAAGAAACCUAAAGAGUAUAGGCCAAAGGGAAUUUCAGUCUGUAAUGUAGAAUUGACAGAAGAUUGGCUUUCUGUCUGUGAAGGUAGAACUCAGUGGUCUCAGGUAGAUGGACCUUUUCAAGUUAGUUGUUUUUCAGCAGAGGUGGAAGGACUUUCAGGAGUUUCUAGUGGCGACCCCUACCUGGGCAGGAUCUUCAGUCAGAGAAAUUGGGGUCACUUGAGUAACUUUUUGAACUCGAGGUUUCUAGUCUAAUCAUUAGUGUAAUGGUUAGCAAUCCCUGGAAGUCACAUGGGACUGUUGACUCCAGAUUGAGUUUUGUGAUAUACCAAUGAUCACCCAAAUUUGAGAACAGCAGUACCCUAGAUUGCAUUCACAGACGUUUUCAGUGGCCAUAAAACCGAGUUACUAUUCAAGUCUGAGAUGGUGGCCAUUGUGUGUUGCAGUUAGGCAUAUGUUCUCGGUGCUCUACUGAAGUGGCAUCUUUUCAGGUACAGGAAUUCUGCGUCAGGAGAGCCAGGCGGUGGUGCACAGCAUGUCUCUAGCUUUAGCUGCCUUGGAAGCUGAGGGUUCAAGGCAGCAAAACAAAACACACUUUAACAUCCAGCACCUGUGAGUGAUAGUCUAUUUUUGAAAAGUAUCUGCUGUCCCUAACCAAAAGUUAAACAUUUUAAAGUGGUAGAAAUUCUGCUUUUUGGCUCACUGCAGCUACAGCUGUUACUUUCAGUUUUAUUUAAAAAGUAAUUUAUUGAGGUUCAUUUGUAGAAGGCUGUAUUUGAAGAAACUCUUGCUAGAAUAAUUUGUAAUCAUUUGCUUUUACUGUUUUUUUUUUUUAGCAAGAAUAGAAAAAGUUGCAGUGAAAGAAUAUAUAUGCACAUACAACAUGCACACACAUCAUGCAUGCACAUACAUCAUACACACACACACAGACACACACACAUACCCACACCUCUGUAUGUGAGUGCACAUUGUGAGUGACAGAAAUCAUUGCAACAUAAAUCUUAAAUAAUGAAGUGUUCAUUAGUGAGAUAAUUUCCCCUAUAAAUCUGUCCCCAUUUACUGCCAACAGCUCUUCUGAUUCUGUCUUUUGAAUCAGGCUGGCCUUUCAGUCUGACUCAUAGUGGACGGCAUAUGAUAAUAUAAUGCACACACAACGCAAACUAAUUGCAGUGUCCAGUUGCAAUCCUGAAAAAGAAGUGUGGUUUCUGAAAACAGUGACUGUGAAGGAGUAGGCACCCAGCAACUGACAAGGAGGAUCUGGCAGAGACAGACCAGUUCACAAUGAAGAAAAUGUAAUCAGGGUUGAUAGGCAUCUCAAAGGAGAGCCGUGGAGAGCAUGUUUAAGGAUUAAGAGCUUUUGAGAAAUUGAUGUCUUUGCCCGUGAUUGCAUCUAGGAGGAUGCGGUUCUUCUCGGAAGCAAAGUUUAGCUUAGACUCAGUCUUUCAGCAGCUCUGUUUGCCAAGAGACAGUAAAAAUCAGGGAUGAAUAUAUUGAUGGAUGGAUGGAAGUAGUGAACAAAUUGCUCUUGCUGCUGAGAAUUAAUAGAAAACCCUAGCUUUCCUGGUUAACUUUCAAAUGAAGCUGUUUAAAAAGAGACCUCGGGAUAGUUUCUACAAAGGUUAUAGUUCUUAGGUUCCCACAUAGUUCAGAAGUGUGAGUAUUUUAGCUGCACCAUUCGUGACUCUUACAGGUCUUUGCAGCCUAGAAUACUAGGGAUGGCACCAAGUGUCCAGUGAUUUAAACUGAGAUUGACAGGCAAAAUGAAGUUGUAACCUUUGUGAGAGUCUUCUUUAGGAUAUGUGAGUCAGACCAUCGCCAGGUGGUGGUAUCAACAGAACCGUAGUGUGUGGCUAGCGGAUACGUGCCUCUCUAGGCAUGUAGGAAUACAGUCUCUCCCAGCUCAGAGAAAGCCUGAGAGUGAAUAACGUGUCUGUGUUUGGUCUUUGAUUGCUGCUGCCAGUCUUGCUGGCCUUUGAUGGCUGUAAUCCUUAUAUUUAACGUUGGCUUUUAAGGUUACUCAAACGGUGUGUUUGGACUAACUGGUACUUCUUUUUUUCUUGUAUAUUUUCUUUAUUUACAUUUCAAAUGGUUUCCCUUUUCCAAGCGAUUAGCUGAUAUUUCUAGAAGCAGGUAGAUAGUUAUUUAAAGGGUCUAAAAUAUGAGUGUCCGUAAAGAGCUCAGUGAUUCCUGCAAACAUAGGGAUUGGAAAGUGUGUGCUGCACUCUGUGCUGAAGCGUUAGGCGAUCAUGGACAGGAAAAUGGUGUGCCUUCUAGCUGGCUCUUAAUUGACUGUAGACUAAAUAGAAGUCUUAAGUCUCUUAAUAGGAUUUGAAAUUUAGAAAUAUUUUUUUUAUAUUAACUAAGUGAGAAGAUGGAUGACCAAUAUUAUGAAUAAAAUAAAGUUUGUUGUUCAGAGUCUACACAGAUUGUAAAAAGAGAAUUUCAGGAAUUAAUUUAUGCCAAUGAACUUGGCAAAUGAAGUUGUCAAGUUGCCUAAGAGGGACAAAUUACUGAAAUGGACAAGGAGAAAUUAAAAGAUCUUUUUUCUUUCUUUUUUUGUUUUUUUUUUGGUUUUUUUUUUUUUUUUUUUUUUUUUUUGUUUUGUUUUUUUUUUGAGACAGGGUUUCUCUGUAUAGCCUUGGCUGUCCUGGAACUCACUUUGUAGACCAGGCUGGCCUUGAACUCAGAAAUCUGCCUGCCUCCCAGGCGCCACCACGCCCGGCCAAAAUUAAAAGAUCUUAACAGUGCCACGUGUUAAAGUAAUUGCAUGUAAAAUUAUAAAUUUCUCCAAACAGAAGAGUUUAAAUCCAGUUAUACACUGGUAUAGUUGUGUAUAUUAUUACACACACACACACACACACACACACACACACAUAUGUAUAAUAUAUACAUGUAUAUACGUAUAGUCACAUGUUUAAGAAAAGAUUCUAUAAAUCAAUUCUAUACAAACUCAAAAAAAAAAAAAUAGAGGCAGAGAAAACUUUUCUGAUCUCCAUUUUGUGAGUCCAGUAUAAGCCUGUCCAGAUAAAAAAAGAAAAAGAAUUCAUAUUAUCAGCUGUCCUGUUUAAACUCCUUAUGAAUAUUAGCAAAUCAGAUCUAGUGAAAAGGGUAAUAUGUCAGAAAUAAGUUGGAGUUAUUCUAGAAAUGAAAGUUUUUUGUCAAAAAUAAAUUAGUAAUGAAAUGGGAGAGUUCAUAUGAUCAUCUCAGUAGAUGCACAAUAUUUGACACAAUUAAUGUAAGUAAAAAACUGGGAAUAUAAUGAAGUUUGCUAACUCUGAUGAAGAGCAUCUAUAGGAAAACCAGCUGUCAUACGCUGAUGAUCACUCCUGACAUUCAGGCUCACACUGUAGUUUGUAAGUCCACAGAGGAACGAGAAGAUAGGAGAAGAGAGGGAUAAUCACAUCCCAGACAGAGUGCACAUUGAAAACCACAAGGGAUGGACCUUCAAACUCCCACUAGCACUAGCUAGUUAAAAUGCCAAACUUGGGGGUGCAGAGUGGCUGUGCAGGAGACUGUUUUUUAUAUGCUGGCAAUCGCUGAAAAAUGAGACUUAAAAGUAAGCAUCAUUUUAUAAUGCCUGAAGUAGACUAAACUGAGAGUCAGCCACAAACUGCUGUUAGGUUCAGUUUAGUUCCAGUUAAAAUUCUAGCAGGCUUUUUGUUGUUCCUGAUGUUUGCUUGAUUUUUGAGACUGGGUUUUUCUACUAGGCCUGUCUGUCCUGUCUGCCCUAGAACUUACUAUUUAGGCCAGGCUGGCUUUGAACUCACCGAGAUCCACCUGCCUCUGCCUAUGAAGUACUGUGACGGAAGGUGUGUGUUAUGCUACCUGGUGUUUGUUUUUUGUUUUUGUUUUUUUUUUUAAAGGGAACUAAAUAAGCUGAUUCUACAACACAUUUGGGAACGCAAAGGACAAAUAGUUACUAAAGUUAUACUGGAAAAAUAUGAAGCUGGAGGACUUACAGUAUCAUAUUGAUAGAAAUCAAGACAGUAUAGAAUUGAUAUACCACUGAUAUGUGCAAGAAUGAAAGCGAAUAGAGAACUGGGGAUAGUGUUUUCAACAACUGGAAAUACAUAUAGAAAAAAAGAACCUCUUUUUUAGGUUCAGGAAUGUUAUUCCAAUACUGAUCACUAAUGUGAACGCCAAAGCUGAUUCUGAAGCUGCAGUAAAGCAGUCAAAUUGGCAAAGGUUUCUGGGAAAUGGCACAGAUAGCAUUGGGUAGAAGAGAAAAAUAGUGACUAUUUCUAUUUUACCAAAACUGUAGACUUUUGUUCUUGUGAAAUGCCAUGAAGGAAAUGGAAUGUUUUCUUUUUUCUUUUUUUUUUUUUUAAGAUUUAUUUAUUCAUUUAAUGCAUGAGUACACUGUUGCUGUCUUCAGACACACCAGAAGUUGUCUGAAUUGGAUCCCAUUUCAGAUGAGCCACCAUGUGGUUGCUGGGAAAUUGAAUUCAGGACCUCUGUAAGAGCAGUCAGUGCUCUUAACCGCCGAGCCAUCUCUUCAGCCCUGGCAUGUUUUCUUAAACCAGACAUGGGGAUCGGUUUACAAAAUCUUAUUGGAUAAUGGGAUUGUGUCCAGAGUCUGUUAAAAAAAGCCUCUCAGGACUCAAUGAUAAGACAGCCUAGCUUUAAAAAUGGGUGAAAACUGAACUCCACAAGACAAGAUAAAUGAAAAACAUAUGCACACAUGGUCGUCAUUAUUAGCAAUUAGGGGAAAACAUAUUAGUUAUUAGCAUUAGCUAUUUUUUUGUCACAGUAAAAUUUGCUGAUGUGAUUAUUUUUUAACUAUACUCAGUUGACAGACAAUUAGUGGGACCUUCUCAAUUUAGAUCCACUUUGAAGCAAUAAAAUAAUAUUGCUAUUACUUUAAGUUUCAUUUUCUAAUUAUUCAUUACUAUCCUAUAGAAAUAAGGGAUUUUGUGUUAGCUACUUAGCACCCAUAAAAUCUUAAAAUUUCACUUGUUGGGUACCAUCAUCUACCUGUUAGAAAAUAGCCAGAAUUUAAAAAGUCAGAAUACCAAGUAUUGUUGGGGAAGGAACAAGUGAGCUCUGAUGCAUUGUAGCUAACGGCGGAGAUGACACAGUCUUGGAGGAGAACAUUGUGGCAACUCUCAGAAAGUCAGGCAUUCUUUCACUUUGCGGCCCACCUUUUGAGCUAAUUAUUUUUGUUAUUUUGAGACAGAGUCUUGCUGUGUAGUAGUCCUUAGCUAGCCUACUGCUUGCUACACAGCCCAGGACAGCCUUGAAUUUAUGACAGUUCUUCUGCUUCAGCCUCUUAAAUCUUGAAUUUACAGGUAUGCGGUACCAUGUCUCUUUUUAGCUGUUUAUAUUUGUAACAGAUAACAUCUUCAAAUUUGAAACAGACUACAUGUCUGCUGAGAGAUGAACCGAAAAGCAAAAUUUAAUGUAUUAUAUAGUAGACUACUAUUCCACACUUAGAAUAAGCUACUGGGGGCUGGAGAGAUGGCUUAGUGGUUAUGAGCACUGACUGCUCUUCCAAAGGUCCUGAGUUCAAAUCCCAGCAACCACAUGGUGGCUCACAACCAUCCGUAAUGAGAUCUGACGCCCUCUUCUGGUGCAUCUGAAGACAACUACAGUGUACUUAGAUAUAAUAAUAAAUAAAUCUUAGAAAAAAAAAGAGUAAGCUACUGAUGCUUGCCACCACACAGAUGCAUCUCCUGUUUCUUUUUUGGGUUUUUCAACACAGGGUUUCUCUGGGUAGUUCUACCUCUCCUGGAAGUCACUCUGUAGACUAGGCUGGUCUCAAACUUGGAAAUCUGCCUGCCUUUGCCUCCUGAGAGCAGGGAUUAAAAAUGUACACACUUUCUGGCCUCAGCCACAUCUCAGAAAGUAAGAGAAGCCAGAAAUAAAAGAGCAUAUAUAAUGUGCAGUUCCACUCUAGGAAAUCCUAGAACUGGAGAAAAUAAUCUCUAGUGAUAGAGAGCAGACUGUCGGUGGUCACAUGGGGGAACACUGGUUGCUGAGGCCCAAAGGUCUUGUGUAGUAGUAGUGGUUAUGUGUAUACAUGAACUUGCCGAGAUCAGUGUACAUUUAAUGGGUACAAUUUGUUCUGUGAAUUACACCUCAGCAAAAUAUAUUUGAAAAGAAAAAAGCUUGGCAACAUAAAAUUCUGGCAAGGCUGUGCAGUAGCAAGCUCUGACACAGUGCUGGCUGCCCUUUAAACAGCACCCUUAGACCAAAGCCUUGGUAGCUUCUUCUUAUUCGUUGGAAAUGCACUUUAUGGUCCAGAAUUUCCAUUCCUAGAUAAUUCCCCAAGGGAAAUGAAACACAUGCUGCCAGGAGUGUCCAUAAAGGCUAGUUCACAGCAAACUGGAAGCAAGUCACCUAUCUAUCGGUAGGAAAAUAGAUAAAGCAUUGUGAUGUGGUUAGACAGCAAUAGAGGGGAUGGAUAUGAAACUAUCCUGAAUAGAAGCAGACAGACAGACAGAUAGACAGACAAAAGGGCCCAAUAUUAUGAUCGCAGAACUAUCACAUGGUGAUAGAACACAAAAUUUGCUUUUGUGCUAGGAUAUCACUAGCAGGCACACAGGAAACUUCUGGAGUUGUAGGAAUGCUUUGCAUCUUCUUGUGUGUGUAUGAGUUGCUUAGGUGUGUGGACUUGGAAAAUCAAAUAAAUUAUCAGCUCAAGGGCUGCAUCUAACUGUAUAUACUCAAAGCAGUAAGAUACUAAGGCAGGAGAUGGCACAGUGGGUAAAGCACUUGCCAUGCAAGUAUGAGGACAGGGUUUCGGAGAGUACCCCCAUUCCCAACCCCCGCCCCCAGCACACACUGUAAAUGAUGGAUGGGCAUGGUGGCCUGAACCUGCAUUCACAGUUCUUAGGAGGCAACAGACACUUGUGACUAUGGGAGCAGGCUGGCUAGCUAAGUCAGCCCAAUCAUGGAGCUCUGGAAUCAAAGGAGAGACCCUGCCUCAUUAUCUAGUGUCUUCCUUGAUCCUUGUCCAUUUGAGGUCAGCCUAUUCAUUGCAUGCACACAUCCUCGCAUGUACUCACAUAGACUCUGACUCAUCUGUUGGAGUUUUGGUUCUCAGGAAACUGAAGUUAAGCCUUGUAUUUUGUAAUUUGUAUUUUCUACACACCAGCCAGCUUCUCAUAUCCCAAUAAUUUGGCAAAAUUUAUCAAGUUUGGCUUUCUCUAGAAACAAACCGUUGUUAAAAAUUUUUUUUAUUUCCUUAAUUGCAGUCAUAUUAAAAAAAAUAGUGAAACUGUUCAACAAUUGAAAAUUACAUAUGCUGUAGGUUGUUUAAUUGUGAAAAGCUAACAUAUAUACAUUUAUUUAUUUAUUAAAUUAAUGAUAUUGGAAUUUCACUGUUAGGCAACUUAAUUUUGUAUGGCAUUUGAUUGUUUUGGAGGUGGAAGUAAGUAAAUAAACUCUGAGUAAAAUUUGUAAAAAAUGGAAAUUAAUGUGCUAUAGCUAUUCUGUUUAAGUGCUGUGUACACUGUUUGAGUCCUUGUAGGAAAAAGUAUUUUCUGAUUUUUUUUUUUUCUUUUGGCUAUGUCCAAUACUUGUAUGCUUUUAAGUGGUUCAGGUUUAAGAUGUAAUUUCUUAGUUUUAAACAUAGUUAAUAUUCAUGCAUGCAUAUAAUGUGUUUUGAUCAAGUGCAUCAUUCAUUCCCUCUUCUCCACUGCAUCUCAUCCCUCCAACCCUCAACUCCGUUUCUGUAGCAGGGGAGGGGCCCGUGAACUCCUAUCCCUGUCAGGAAUUUUGGGCAAUUGAUGGCUGUUGAGAAAGGAAGAGUCAGUUUUCUUCAGGGUUGCAGCCCCUCAGAGGCUGUUUAUGCUCCAGUAGCUUGUCCUACCCAUAUAUAUGCAGGCAGCACUUAAGGACACAGUGGUGUUCAGCUUUAAGAAGAGACCACACUUUAACCUGGUGCACAGCUUGGUAUAUUAAGCAUAUUCAUAAUUUCGUAUAAGUACCAGUGUCUCUUUCCAGCAAUUUUUUCAUCACAUUGAACUGUCACUCAGUCUAUUGCCAGUAUGUUGUUGUCCCCAGCUCUUGGUGGCCUUUGUCCUAGGUCCAUCCACAGAGCCAUAUAGCAUUAGUCUGUUCCUCCUGGCUUACUUCACUUAGCACAGUGCUUUUGUGCUUCACUCAUGCUGCAUAGAUUAGAACUCCAUCUCCUUUUAUGGUAAGCAGCAUCCUGUCGUAGAAACAUACCAUAGUUUUUAUGCACUCGCUUGUUUAUGGCUCCUUAGGCUGUGAGUAGUACCUUUGUGGACAUAAGUUAUCUGUGUGAGUUCCUGUUUUCUUCAAAGAGUAAAACUAGUGACACUUGCAAAUAGAGAGGACAACAGGACAGAGGCAAAUGUGAGAUAAUGUCCAGAACAAACAAAAAUUAUGGUAAAGAGUAAUACAUACAUUAAUUUCCAAAUGAGAUUGUAUACAGUGAUGAUGCAGGAGCAGGCGAGAGUGUUUGAACAAGUCUUUGCUGCGUUCCGUUCCAGCUCAGACCUGUUUUUGGCUCAUGCGAGCACCAUGCAAAGAAUCUCUGCUAUAGUCUGCAUUCACUAUCUGACUUUUAAAAACCAAGGUCUUUUAGCAGUAAGCAGGUGAGAUUUUUGUCUAAGUCAGCCUGUGUCGUCUGCUCGGUCUCACAAGUCGAGUGUUUCGAGGCCUGAGGAACUAACAUUAGUGGUAGUACUUUUCAAAGUUUUUCCUUUUUAGUGAGUUAAAUCAGAGGUGUGUCCAUUUUAAGUAUUUAAUAAAUUCUGGCCUUGCUCUCUUCGUUUACUAGCCUUGUUUCUGCUGUCUCCUUUCACAGCUAGUUUAUGGCCUGGAAUCUCCUUGGGGAUUUAUGGGUGGGUGGCUAUCUUACUUUUCUGUAAAGGGAUUAGGCACAGUCAUAAAAACAAAUUUAUUUCUACCUGAUUAGUUAUGCAUAGUUUUGGAAGUUUGCCUGACAAGCUACUUAAACUCUUAGCAGGAUAUGAUAUUAGUUAGAUUGUUUGUUUAUAGGUAAAGAAACAGACUGUGAGAGCACAUUCUUAUGCUGCUAAGAACUUUUAAAAACUCAUGUGAAUUGUGUGUCUCUGAGUGUGUGUCACAUGUGUGCAGGUGUUGAGGGCAGUUGGUCCUCUGGAGCUGGACUUACAGACAGUUGUAAGCUAUCCACUAUCCGUGCAUAAACUCAAGUCUUCCGGGAGAGUUAACCAGUAAGCUGUCUUUCUAGCUCCUGGUGAAUUAAGGAAAAGGUCGAAAUGGGCUGUUAAAUGGACAUAUAGCUUAUGACUUUUUUUGUUUCUAUGAAUGUAUAUAUACUUUUUUUUUUUUGGUUUUUCGAGACAGGUAGUCCUGGCUGUCCUGGAACUCACUUUGUAGACCAGGCUGGCCUCGAACUCAGAAAUCUGCCUGCCUCUGCCUCCCCAGUGCUGGGAUAAAAGGCGUGUGCCACCACGCCCAGCAUGAGUGUAUAUAUAUAUAUAUUUAUGGAAAAGUCGUAGUUGGCCUGCUUUCCUGCUUUCUAGCAUGCAGUAUGUAAUUGCAUCUCUUUACUGCAGCACGGUAGGCAUUUAUGCUGUUGGCGUUUGUUAGCUAUUGUGUUUGUUUAGUCUCUGAGGACAGGUUAGUUCUUUCUAAAGUCUUUUUCCUAGAAAUUCGCCACGAGACAGAGGGCAUUCUAGAUCUUUUUAUAAUGCUGAAGAAAAAGCACUAGCAUUCACUGAAUAUCUCAACAUUCAGCAUUUAACCUUCACACCUCUCAGGUAGGUAGGUAGGUAGGUAGGUAGGUAUGUAUGUAUGUAUGUAUGUAUGUAUGUAUGCGUUUUCAGGAUGUGGAAACUGGGGCUCAGCAGGCUUAGCUAACUUGACCAAGGUCAUGAAGAUUUAUAGCUGUUUUAUUUUCCUUAUUUCAUUAGAGUGGGAAAUUGGUAAUGAUGUUUCGAACCUACCCUAAACUAACCUUCGGUGGCAAGAUUAAAGGUCCUUAGAACUCGGCACUCUGACACAUCUGAGGUCCGUCUGUCCACGUCCAUUGUGCUGUCCCUCUCUCAUGUCCUGUCUUGUACAUAAACCCCACACUUCAGUCAAGCCUGCUGUGGAUUCCACUGCUUUUUCUGACCUCACUGACUCCAGGGAGAAACUAUUUUCCCAGUCCCAAGGUCACGCUUUUGGUGGCUUCUCUGCCUCUUGCCUUUUCUCUUUCUCUCCCUCAGACUCCUGCUGGCAUUCACUUUGCUUUAGUGUUGUCUGGACAGGCUUUGACCCCUUACCUAGACCCUUAGCUGUUCCAGAGUUUCAUAGAAGUGGUAGAUACUGCUGCAUACUCUGUGGACUGUGUGAAUAUUUGCUCUUCCUGGGGUAAACACAGACUUAGAGCCUCUGGUCAUCUCCAGUCAGGUUUUACUACCAAUGUUUUUAAAAGUAUUUUCACUUUUAGGCCUGUUUGGAAUUUAGGAUAGUCAAUAUGUAAUUAUAGAUACACAUUGGCUGAUGUUUUAGGAAACAUAGCUAGUAGUCACAUGGCACUUUAUGACUUUUCUUUUGUUUUCCUUUUUUUUUUUUAAGUAUUGAUUACUUUAGAGAUAAUGUGAGUGUACAGAUAUCAUCUGCCAAUCGAUCCGUCAUUAACUGGUAGAUGUAAGCACAUCUGUCUUUCAAAGCUUAUUGUACUUUGAUUUUCCUUCUUUAGUUUCCUCUUAAAUCCGUUAGACACAAACCUGAUUAUCAUCAGUGUUUUGCUUUUUUUCUGGUAUUAUUUUCUAGUUCAAUUUUCUGUGCUACUACAGCCCAGGAUCUGGAAUCAACCAUUGUUUCAGGACAUCCUGGUGUCCUGACGAAGCAUUUCAAGACCUCACUUCCCAAUUAGAGAUGUUCAUUCCUAAUGAGUUGACUUUGAGGCUUUUCACACAAACACAUGCUCAGAAAACUGCAGAACUGUACCCAGGAUCCACAAGCUUGCCCUAGGACUCCGUAUAAUUGUCUAAACUCAGACAGUGGUAAUGAUACCGCUUUAGUAUUGUUAUGGAAUUAUAGAGCCAUUUACUGUAUUCUUUUUCUUUGUAAGAUAAUGAUAUUCUAUGAGUAAUACCACUUCCUUUCAAAUUCAGGGUUUGGAGGGUGGUAUUGUUUUCCACAAAGGGUCUCUCUGUGUAGCCCCAACUAUCUCGAAACUCACUAUGUAGACCAGGUUGGUCUCCCCACUCACAGAGAUCCUCCUGCCUCUGUGCCUUGUGUGCUGAGUUUAAAGGCAUGCAGCAGCUCACCUGGCAGAGUUAGUUUUUGUUUAAUGACUUUGGUAUUGCAUUCUGUUUCUCUUGAUUCCCCAGGGAUUUAAUUUUAUCCCAAACAGCAUACACAAUAAUCUAGAAAAAAAUUAGUCUUUCCUAAUGAAUGUAAUUACCGAGAAGGUGCAAAGUUCUCACUCUUUCUCUACCACCCCUCCUGUUUUCUUAGUUGUACUGAAUCUGCUCUGUCAAACUGUCAGGAACCGCACAGAGCUCCACUUUCUUCCCUUAGCAUUCUUUUAGUGGUGGUUCUAAAAUACCUAAGUAUCUUGCCUUUGUCUGCUUCCCACGCCCUCGCUGCUGUAGUGUUUUGUUUUGACACAGGGUCCUUCUUUUUAGCCAACACUGGCCUGUGGUUUACUCUGUAGCCCAGGCUGGCCUGGGAGUCAUGCUCCCCCUAGGAUGUGAGUCAGCACACCUGCUUGCUUUCGUCAUUUUGAUGGUCUAGAGUUUGUUUUCUGAUAGUUCCUGUCUUAGAAUACAAAAUUCCUGUAGUCUGUGGAUAUUACAGUGAAACCCUGAGCUGCUCAGCUGUCCAGGGCUCCUUUUCAUCCUGAAAAGACCUUAAAGCUGAUGCUGCAGGUUGGGUUUUUGGCGUAAAGGUUUGUCGUGGAAAAGUCAGAUGGCCAUGUAAUGGUGCUUUGCUCUUUGUGCCUCAGUUCCUAAAGGUGGAGUACUUUUCGGUGCUGUGGUAAAACACCAUGACCAGAGUUGACUUAUGGGCUGCUGCAGUGGGACUGGGGAGGCAGAGGCAGGAAGAUCUCUGUGAUUUCAAGGCCAGCCUGUUCGACAAAGUGAGUCACUUUGUACACUGUACUGGACAGCCAGGACUAUACAGAGAAACUCUGUCUGUCUGUGUGAAAGAAAACAAAAAAAGAAAACAAAGUUGACAUAGGGAAGGAAGAGUUUAUUUCUGUUUAUGUGUUUACAGCCCAUGCAGGGAGUCCAUGAUGGUGGCAGACAUGUGGAGCAGACAGCCAGAGCAGAAGCUGAGAGGCUCUGUCUCUCACUUAAGCCACCAAGCAGCAAGCAGACUAGAAGAGGGGCAGGGGCACAGACUCUCACAACGUGUAUUCUUCCAGCCAGAGUCCACCUCACAGCCUGCCUUCACAGCCUUCACAGCCUUCACAGCCUCCCCAAAUGGCACCACCCAGAGUGGACCAAGGCUCACACACAAGAGCCAUGGCGACAUUGCUCAUUCCAGUCACCACAGAGGCUGCAGGGUCACCAUUGUAGUGAUGGCUGUGCUGAGGCUUUCUCUUUCUAUCUCAGAUGUUUGUAUUUCAGGAAAGCACAAUGAACUAACUCCUGUACAUACUCUCUGGGUCUUUAAGGGGCUGUAUUGUGUGCCCAUUGAAACUUCUGAAUUUUCAGGAUCAUCACAUUCUCUUGUACCUCCCCUAGCUCACUGAUUACCUUUGGUUUUGUUUCUUUUCUUUUCUUUCUUUUGAGUUUUUUACUUCUGAGUUGGUGUAGUUUGGGAGCAAACUUAUUUGACCAAAUGAUUGUUUUAACCCAUCUAGCUCAUAUCCCUUGUCUUAUAGAGCUAAUGGGAACAUACUUUGAGGACCAUAUCCUGACAGAAAGCAGCGAAGGAAGUGAUGUAGCCUGUAUAGCCCUAUGAGUAACUGGUUUAAAAUACUCUUUUGUUAAUCCUGUGGAGCAAGACUGCAGAGGAGUGGCAGAAUGGAGGAGAGACCAACCUGGAGAAGCCAAUGGGAGUCUCAUUUAGGAGGAGGCCACGGAGGGAGAAAAGGACUGUGUUUUAGAGAUGUCAGACUUGGUAGCUGGGUAGAGAAGGGGCUCAGGAGCUGUUUGUGUUUUGGUAACCCAGGGCUUGAAUUGUGCUGUCGUUAUGUAGAUGAGGAGAUUAUUGGGGCUGGGAGAGGGAAGAUAAUGAGCCCUGUUUGGAGCAAGUAGUGCUAGGCAUCUAGGUACCCAUGCUUAGCAAGGGUUCAGUCAUGCAGAUUGAAGCUUGGGAGAAAGGGUUGGAGAGGGUUGGAGUCAUUCAUAGUCAUGAGCCUGGACGAUGACAUCAUCUAGGGAGAGCGCAAGAAAGGAGAAAGUGGGUCAAGGAGAGAAUUCUAACUUAGAUAAGAAGGGAAGCCAGUCUUGGGAAUAUUAAUAAGAACGAUUAGGUGUUCUGUUUUAGUCUUGUUAAACUUUUUCAUGCUAAAAAGCCCAUGCAGGUGUUACCUAUUUUACAGAUGAGUGAGUUGGAGUUCAAAGGUUAAACUGUCGGCUCCUUGUUGCACUUCUAGCAACAGCCAUUGAGGAAGCUGAGCCACUCUUUUCUCACCUCCUUCCUGGCCUCUUGCUAGGCAAGGAGUUACAGACAUAUUAUACAAAAUGGAGAUGUGCUACACCUAGGGUGAGAGAGAUGGGAGGCUUGGAAGGCUGUUAGCCAUGCGAGGGGCUGCAGAGAGAUUAAGAAGGAUGGGGAUUCUAACCCCCUUUACACUGAGUAAAGACCAAUUCCUGUGUGGGAAUUGGUUUGCUGUAGGAUGUUGAUAGUAUGGUUAUUUUAUUGUACCACUUUCCUAAGCUGUGCUUUUAUUGACUAAGUAAAUGACAGCUUAUAAUUCCCCCAAAGAAGAAGAUAACAAUUGUUAAACAACCAAAGUGAUGCUAAAUACAGACAAAGGCAGGCUCUGCUGCGUGAUGUAACAAUAUCCUAGUGUUUGGGAGGGUGAUGCAGCCUGGCCUCUCCUGACGAUGCUCAGACAGGAAAGGGAGGGGAAGAGCCUCUGCGAGCACUUGAGCACUUGACUGCAGAGGGAGCGCUGCUUGCUGAGUCAGAGGAUGAAGGCUGCGCUCUAGGCAGACAUGGCCCAGUUCAGGCUGCUGGACUGCAUGAUAAACCACAAUUGGAGUUUACUCUGCAAUCUCUACUGUGCAUGGAAUGGCCAGGUGUCAAAAAACAAAGAUGGAAAAGACCAAGGUGAACCUGUGUCACCGUCUGAAGAUGAGCCAUUCUCCUGGCCAGGUCCCAAAACAGUCAUGCUGAAGAGAACAUCUCAAGGGUUUGGUUUCACAUUACGACACUUCAUCGUUUAUCCCCCAGAGUCUGCAAUCCAGUUUUCAUAUAAGGAUGAAGAGAAUGGAAACAGAGGAGGAAAGCAAAGGAACCGAUUGGAGCCGAUGGAUACCAUAUUUGUUAAACAAGUGAAGGAAGGAGGGCCGGCCUUCGAGGCUGGCUUAUGCACAGGUGACAGAAUUAUAAAAGUCAAUGGAGAAAGUGUCAUAGGAAAGACCUAUUCCCAAGUAAUUGCUCUCAUUCAGAACAGUGACACCACCCUGGAGCUCAGUGUAAUGCCCAAGGAUGAAGACAUUCUCCAAGUGCUACAAUUUACAAAGGAUGUUACAGCACUGGCAUAUUCUCAAGAUGCAUACCUGAAAGGCAAUGAAGCUUACAGCGGCAAUGCCCGUAAUAUACCUGAACCUCCACCAGUUUGCUAUCCCUGGUUGCCAUCGACUCCUUCAGCUACUGCACAGCCGGUGGAAACAUGCCCUCCUGAUUCAUUACCGAACAAACAGCAAACCAGUGCACCAGUCCUCACACAACCUGGCAGGGCCUAUAGAAUGGAAAUACAAGUGCCUCCGUCACCAACAGAUGUUGCAAAGUCAAACACAGCAGUGUGUGUUUGCAAUGAGAGUGUGAGGACCGUCAUUGUGCCUUCUGAGAAGGUGGUAGACUUGCUAGCCAAUAGAAACAACCCUUCAGGUCCUUCACAUAGAACUGAAGAGGUAAGGUAUGGUGUAAAUGAGCAGGCCUCUACAAAAGCAGCAUCGAGAACAACGUCACCGGCAUCAGUUCCCACUGCCCAUCUGAUUCAUCAGACCACAGGCUCCAGAUCCUUAGAACCUUCUGGAAUUUUACUUAAAUCUGGAAAUUACAGUGGACAUUCAGAAGGAAUCUCAAGCAGUAGAUCACAAGCCGUGGAUUCCCCUCCUGUGUCUGUCAAUCACUACUCUGCAAACUCCCAUCAGCACAUAGACUGGAAAAAUUAUAAGACUUACAAAGAAUACAUUGAUAAUAGGAGAUUGCACAUAGGUUGUCGGACAAUCCAGGAAAGACUGGACAGCUUACGAGCUGCAUCUCAGAGCGCAGCAGACUAUAACCAGGUGGUACCCACCCGCACUACUCUGCAGGUACGACGUCGAAGCACCUCUCAUGACCGAGUGCCCCAGUCUGUUCAGAUCCGGCAGCGCAGUGUAUCUCAGGAAAGACUGGAAGAUUCUGUGCUGAUGAAGUAUUGCCCAAGGAGCGCGUCUCAAGGAGCGCUGACCUCACCGCCUGUUAGCUUCAAUAAUCAUAGAACUCGUUCGUGGGAUUACAUAGAGGGACAGACGGAAGCCACAGCCACUGUCAAUUCUGAAAGUCAGAUACCUGACUCAAAUGGGGAACGAAAACAGACUUACAAGUGGAGUGGCUUCACUGAGCAGGAUGAUAGACGCGGUAUUCACGAAAGACCCAGGCAGCAAGAAAUGCACAAGCCUUUCCGAGGCUCAAAUUUGACUGUGGCUCCCGUUGUUAAUUCUGAUAACAGGCGCCUGGUUGGGAGAGGGGUAGGACCUGUCUCACAGUUUAAAAAAAUCCCGCCGGACCUAAGACCACCACAUUCCAACAGAAAUUUUCCAACCACGACUGGGGUGUCACUUCAACGGGGUAUUGCACAAGACAGGUCCCCACUCGUGAAAGUCCGAAGUAAUUCUCUGAAAGUGCCACCUCCACCUGUGUCAAAACCGUCCUUCAGCCAGCACUCACUGGCUUCCAUGAAAGACCAAAGGCCUGUCAAUCAUCUGCAUCAACACAGUGUGCUGAGUCAGCAGACGCAGUUCAGAUCCGAAAGCACCUUCGAGCACCAGCUGGAGACUGAGGUAUCCUCGUGUCUACCAGGAACUUCUGCCAAGACCAGUCCACAGCUCAGUGAGAAUUUGGGAACAUCAGACUUAGAACUACCUGCCAUCCCAAGGAAUGGAGAUAUAAACUUACAGGAGGCUGAAAUUCAGCAGCCAGAUGUGCUAGAUAAUAAAGAAUCUGUCAUUCUAAGAGAGAAACCUCAGUCUGGCCGCCAGACGCCACAGCCUUUAAGACAUCAGUCUUACAUCCUGGCAGUGAAUGACCAGGAGACCGGGUCAGACACCACCUGCUGGCUGCCAAACGAUGCACGCAGAGAGGUCCAUAUAAAAAGAAUGGAGGAGAGGAAAGCUUCAAGCACCAGCCCUCCUGGUGAUUCCCUGGCAUCCAUCCCUUUUAUAGAUGAGCCAACCAGUCCUAGCAUCGACCACGAGAUUGCACAUAUUCCUGCAUCUGCUGUCAUCUCCGCCUCUACUGCCCACGUCCCCUCCAUUGCAACUGUUCCCCCCAGCCUCACGACCUCUGCUCCUUUGAUUCGACGUCAGCUCUCCCACGACCAAGAAUCUGUUGGACCUCCCAGCCUGGAUGGCCAGCACAGCUCAAAGACAGAAAGAUCCAAAUCCUACGAUGAAGGACUGGAUGAUUAUAGAGAAGAUGCAAAACUAUCCUUUAAGCACGUGUCUAGCCUGAAGGGAAUCAAGAUUACAGACAGCCAGAAGUCAUCAGAAGACUCUGGAUCGAGAAAGGGUUCUUCCUCCGAGGUCUUCAGUGAUGCAGCCCGAGAAGGCUGGCUCCAGUUCCGACCACUGGUCACCGAUAAGGGCAAGAGAGUUGGUGGCAGUAUUCGGCCAUGGAAACAGAUGUAUGUUGUCCUUCGGGGCCACUCACUUUACUUGUACAAAGACAGAAGAGAGCAGACAACGCCAUCAGAAGAAGAGCAGCCCAUCAGUGUCAACGCUUGCCUGAUAGACAUCUCGUACAGUGAGACCAAGAGGCGGAAUGUAUUCCGACUUACCACGUCUGACUGUGAAUGCUUGUUCCAGGCUGAAGACAGAGAUGAUAUGUUAUCAUGGAUCAAGACUAUUCAGGAAAGUAGCAACCUAAAUGAAGAGGACACUGGAGUUACCAACAGAGAUCUAAUUAGUCGAAGAAUCAAAGAGUAUAACAGUCUGCUGAGCAGCAAAACAGAACAGUUGCCAAAAACACCUCGCCAGAGUCUUAGCAUCAGGCAAACUUUGCUUGGUGCUAAAUCAGAGCCAAAGACUCAAAGCCCACAUUCUCCAAAGGAGGAGUCCGAGAGGAAGCUUCUCAGUAAAGAUGAUACCAGUCCCCCUAAAGACAAAGGUACUUGGAGAAGAGGCAUUCCAAGCAUCGUGAGGAAGACGUUUGAGAAAAAGCCGGCCGCCACAGGGACCUUUGGAGUUAGGCUGGAUGACUGCCCACCCGCCCACACCAACAGGUACAUUCCAUUAAUCGUUGACAUAUGUUGCAAAUUAGUUGAAGAAAGGGGUCUUGAAUAUACAGGUAUUUACCGAGUUCCCGGCAACAACGCAGCCAUUUCAAGCAUGCAGGAAGAACUCAACAAGGGGAUGGCAGACAUUGACAUACAAGAUGAUAAAUGGCGAGAUUUGAAUGUGAUAAGCAGUUUACUAAAAUCCUUCUUCAGAAAGCUCCCUGAGCCUCUCUUUACGAAUGACAAAUAUGCUGACUUCAUUGAGGCCAAUCGCAAAGAGGACCCACUGGAUCGGCUACGAACAUUAAAGAGACUAAUUCAUGACCUGCCUGAGCAUCAUUUUGAGACGCUCAAGUUUCUCUCGGCUCAUCUGAAGACAGUGGCAGAGAACUCAGAAAAGAAUAAGAUGGAACCCAGAAACCUAGCGAUCGUUUUUGGUCCAACUCUAGUGAGAACAUCAGAAGACAACAUGACCCACAUGGUCACGCACAUGCCUGACCAGUAUAAGAUCGUAGAGACUCUCAUCCAGCAUCAUGACUGGUUUUUCACAGAAGAAGGUGCCGAAGAGCCUCUUACAGCAGUGCAGGAGGAGAACACAGUAGACUCCCAGCCAGUACCAAACAUAGAUCAUUUGCUCACCAACAUUGGAAGGACAGGCGUGCUCCCUGGAGAUGUAUCAGGUAACUCUUGUCUAGGCAGUACACUGCUGACUGACCUCUAGGCUACUUGACCUUCCUAUAAGUGAAACAGUGAGCAGCCAUAAGUAACACUCCAUAUGGGUUCUUUUCUCUUCUUCUUCCUUUUCCUUUCUACUAAUAAAAACUGCAACUCGCCUUUUCUGAUGAUCUCACUUCCGGCGACUGUAACCCACUGACAGUGCAUGGAGUAGUGAUGUGUGUCAGAGUGGGAACCUGAGAGUGAUGAGCAUGCAAACCACUGUUUUGUUUUAUUUUAUUUUUUUUAAUUCACAGUUUCCAUGUAAUAGUCAUCACAAGGUAAAACAGAUAUAUGCUGCUGAAUGUGUGGUUGCUGUGACGGCAGAAAGAAUGGUUAGACUGGGUGCUUAGUUCUGUUUGGGACCAGUUCUGUGCUGGCAGCAAGCUGAGCUGCCCCUCUCAGUCCUAUCAUGUCACCAGAGACGUCACAGUCAAAGUCAUUCCACUUGACCUUGAUUUUCUUCUCUCUCCUACUGCCACCCUAACGCUUGGUUAAGUAUUAGUAUUUAAUAGGCUCUGGAUGAAAACGUCUCUUGCCAAACUGUUGCACUAAUCUGGCAUGCUAUUUCACACCAUGUUCUCCCUUUGUCUCUAGUUCUUGUUUUAGCUCGAAAGGGUUUUUUCAGCUCUUACUGACACAGGCAAAUCUAUACUGAUGUUGCACAGGCGAUGUGGGAGGAGUCUAUCACACGGUAAUGUCACUAGUGGAUUCUGUGAUGUCCCUGAUGGACAGCUGGAGCUGUAGGAAGAAGGAGGACUGCUGUCCACACUGUAGCUGCCUUGUCUGCAGAAACCCCCGGUUCUUGUAAAUGCCAACCCAGUUGAUCUGUGGUGUACACGUCUCUCUUAAGAAUAUUGUAAACAGAUCACUACUACUCUUUUAAAAGUUUUUCUGCUGUCUCUUGUUAUUUCUGAAGCAGACCCUGAGGAGAAAUAGCAUGAUUCAGCUACUAGUGACUCCGCAAAAUCUAAGGGUCUCACUGUGGAGUUGGGGCAGCCUUGGAGCUUGUCCUCUUCCUGGCAGCCUACCCGGCACUGUGACUAUAGGUGUAUACCAUCACACCUGGCAGAACUCUUCUACUUGUACAUAUAAAGGAAGUGGGAAUAUUUGAGCAUUGUGGAUGUGGAGAAAACCAACAGGAAAAUUAGUAAGAAUUGGGAAGCCUCAGUACCUUUACACAUGAGAGAGAUGUGUCUAUCACGAUGCGGCAAGAAAUGGGAACUGUAAUUAAGGUGACCCUGAUAUAAGUUCAAAGGGGACUUUUAAAACACAUACGGUGUUGUGGUUGCAUCUAGGACCGUUAGUAGACUUUAGUUCUUUACUACCUGGGGACAAGCCAGCCCUGGACAGUGUUCAUGGCCUCAUCUUUCUGCAUGUUUCCUAGGGCUCCUGGGGAUCCGGGAAGGAUCAGUAUAGCAGGGAACUGCUUGUAUCCUCCAUCUUCGCAGCUGCCAGUCGCAAGAGGAAAAAGCCGAAAGAGAAAGCCCAGCCCAGCAGCUCUGAGGAUGAGCUGGACAGUGUGUUCUUUAAGAAGGAGAAUACGGAACAGAGUCACAGUGAGAUUAAAGAAGAGUCCAAAAGAGAAAGCGAGACAUCAGGUAGCAAGCAGAGGGUCGUCGUUGCCAAAGAAAGUAACACUAAGAAAGACUCGGGUACAACGAAGGAGGAGAAGAAGAUACCGUGGGAAGAACCAUCCCCACCACACAGCUCCAAACGCAACAGGUCACCAACCCUCAGCUGUCGCCUGGCCAUGCUGAAAGAGGGCCCCAGAUCACUUCUGACACAGAAGCCCCACUGUGAAGAGACAGGGUCUGACUCAGGCACUCUGCUUAGCACGUCUUCCCAGGCUUCGCUCUUGAGGUCCUCCACUAAAAAAUCCACCAGUCCGGAAACCAAGCACAGUGAGUUUUUGUCCAUUGCUGGUACCACCACCUCGGAUUAUUCUACCACAUCAUCCACUACCUACUUGACCAGCCUGGACUCCAGCCGCCUGAGCCCUGAGGUGCAGUCAGUGGCCGAGAGCAAGGGGGAUGAGGCUGAUGACGAGAGGAGCGAGCUGGUGAGUGAAGGACGGCCAGUGGAGACCGACAGUGAGAGUGAGUUCCCCGUGUUUCCCACCACCCUGACUUCAGACCGGCUGUUCCGAGGAAAAUUCCAGGAGGUUGCCAGGGUGAGCCGCAGGAACUCCGAAGGCAGUGAGGCCAGCUGCACCGAGGGAAGCCUCACACCGAGUUUAGACAGCCGCAGGCAGCAGUUCAGCUCCCAUAGACUGAUCGAAUGCGACACACUGUCCAGGAAGAAGUCUGCUCGCUUCAAGUCAGACAGUGGGAGCCCCGGAGACACCAGGACUGAGAAAGAAACUCCUGCCCUGGCCAAGAUGUUUGACGUCAUGAAGAAAGGCAAGUCGACAGGGAGCCUCCUCACACCCAGCAGAAGUGAAUCCGAAAAGCAGGAGGCCACUUGGAAAACAAAAAUAGCAGAUCGUUUAAAACUGAGACCCAGGGCACCCGCAGACGACAUGUUUGGAGUUGGGAAUCAAAAACCUACUGCUGAGACAGCGAAAAGGAAAAACAUCAAACGCAGACACACGCUUGGAGGCCACAGAGAUGCUACUGAGAUCAGCGUCCUGAGUUUCUGGAAAGCUCAUGAGCAGAGUGCGGACAAAGAGUCUGAACUUUCGGCUGUGAAUCGGUUAAAACCCAAAUGCUCAGCCCAGGACCUUUCCAUCUCAGACUGGCUCGCCAGGGAGCGCGUCCGCACCAGUGCCUCCGACCUUAGCAGAGGCGAAGGCCUCGAGCCCCAGGCUGAGAGCCCCAGCGUGCUGGGAACACCCAUCAGCACCCACUCACCACCGUCUCAGCAGCCCGAAGCAAGGGUUGCUGCUACCAGCACCUUGGCUUCAACCAGCCAGUCCCCUCUUUUCACACCACCACAGUCACCUGACCAAAUAAACAGAGAAAGCUUCCAGAACAUGAGCCAAAAUGCUAGUUCUACAGCUAACAUCCACCCCCACAAACAGUCUGAAAGUCCAGACACUAAAGCAGAGACUCCUCCCUGACUUUAAGCUGGGUCUAGCCACUCUAGCAAGGAAAAACUACUGUUACACAGUCUAGUAACUGUAAAUAUUUUUCUUGUACCAGAAUUGUUAUUAUGCAGCCUUGCUUUGGGCUGGAUUCACCAUUUUGCACUGUGAAAUAGCUUUACAGUGCAUUACUACAGCCAGAAGAACACACGUAUAUAUUUAAGAGUAUAUUGGAUAGUUGUAUACAAAUAAGCAAGGUGUUUGUUGCAACUCACUACAUAAUAUAUUCCCCAAAUUACUGAAGAAAGUCGCUGCCUCCUGCAGCCAAAUUGUUCUUUUGGUUCCUCACUAACAAAAGUGCCUCAUGAUAAAAGUACAUUUGAUUUUUAGGGUGCCAUAUUGUUAAAAUUAGAAAAUUGAAUAAAUGAAUGCAUUUUAUCAGUAACAAGUUUCCUUCCAUUUACCAGUUAACACAGGUGGAUACAGGACUUCAAGUCUUUAGUCAUUCCAGACGGAUCUGAGUUUUAUAUUCAAACUUUUAAUACAGUUUUUGAGUUUUGUGUGACUUGAAUUUUUAAUCUUUCUGUAAAAUACGUAAUAACUUAAAUGAACAUAUUCUAUGUGUAUCUUUUCUUCAGAUACCAGAUUUGAUAUAAAUGUUGUAACAUAGGUAUGUAGAUAGUGUAUCCUGGAUGGAACUGGCUUCUUACUGAGAAAAAUAUAAUUCUGCAUGAGGACUUUAUCCAAACCUGUGUCAUGCCUGUGUGCAUACCCAACUAAACACUGGAAAUAAAAUUGUCUUGGUGAAGUUUG